This 253-nucleotide ribosomal RNA is filed under the name uncultured bacterium. RNAcentral describes it as "partial 16S ribosomal RNA". It matches the Rfam family "Bacterial small subunit ribosomal RNA", at positions 524 to 776 of the family's 1533-position model. The record is from RNAcentral.
GACAGAGGUGCCGAGCGUUAGGCGGAAUCACUGGGCUUAAAGCGUGUGUAGGUGGAUGCCUAAGUACCUUGUGAAAUCCCACGGCUCAACCGUGGAAGUGCACUCGAAACUGCGUAGCUAGAGUCCUGGAGAGGAAGGUGGAAUGCUUGGUGUAGAGGUGAAAUUCGUAGAUAUCAAGCGGAACACCGGUGGCGAAGGCGGCCUUCUGGACAGUGACUGACGCUGAGACGCGAAAGCGUGGGGAGCAAACAGG